Xiphias gladius (swordfish) is the source of this 296-nucleotide long non-coding RNA. RefSeq lists it as uncharacterized. The transcript is spliced from 3 exons. NCBI's taxonomy places the organism in Eukaryota, Metazoa, Chordata, Actinopteri, Istiophoriformes, Xiphiidae. The record is from RefSeq and is a predicted model, not a curated record.
CUCCUGCCAGCACCCUCUUGGAUUUUUACCCCUUUAACAGCGACAACUUGCUUUUCUCCAGCCGGCGGUGGACACGGAGAGAGUUACAUCAACUUUGUGUCUUGGCUGUUGGUGCAGCUGAUAUCUCAUCAUGUGCUGUGCUCCGAAGUGCUCCAAUUGCACAGGACAAGCAGUGGCCAGCAGCUGUUUGACACAUGCAUGGAGCCUCCACCAGCACCGCUGGUCCGCACCGGGGAGAAGUUUCGCAUUUGCAACAAUCGUAUUUGUAGCACUUCUUUCUCGGGGAAAGUGCUCGG